CGAGUCAUUGUAGCAUACAAGGCAUACGGCUCAGUAACGCGUAGUCCACCUAACCUAUGGACGGGAAUAACCUCGGGAAACUGAGAAUAAUGCCCGAUAGAACAUUAUGCCUGGAAUGGUUUAUGUUCCAAAUGAUUUAUCGCCGUAGGAUGGGACUGCGGCCUAUCAGUUUGUUGGUGAGGUAAUGGCCCACCAAGACUAUUACAGGUACGGGCUCUGAGAGGAGUAGCCCGGAGAUGGGUACUGAGACACGGACCCAGGCCCUAUGGGGCGCAGCAGGCGAGAAAACUUUGCAAUGUGCGAAAGCACGACAAGGUUAAUCCGAGUGGUUUCUGCUAAAGAAACCUUUUGUCAGUCCUAGAAACACUGAUGAAUAAGGGGUGGGCAAGUUCUGGUGUCAGCCGCCGCGGUAAAACCAGCACCUCAAGUGGUCAGGAUGAUUAUUGGGCCUAAAGCAUCCGUAGCCGGCUCUGUAAGUUUUCGGUUAAAUCUGUACGCUCAACGUACAGGCUGCCGGGAAUACUGCAGAGCUAGGGAGUGGGAGAGGUAGACGGUACUCGGUAGGAAGGGGUAAAAUCCUUUGAUCUAUUGAUGACCACCUGUGGCGAAGGCGGUCUACCAGAACACGUCCGACGGUGAGGGAUGAAAGCUGGGGGAGCAAACCGGAUUAGAUACCCGGGUAGUCCCAGCUGUAAACUAUGCAAACUCAGUGAUGCAUUGGCUUGUGGCCAAUGCAGUGCUGCAGGGAAGCCGUUAAGUUUGCCGCCUGGGAAGUACGUACGCAAGUAUGAAACUCAAAGGGAUUGACGGAAUC
This 814-nucleotide ribosomal RNA is filed under the name uncultured crenarchaeote. RNAcentral's name for it is "bacterial SSU rRNA". It matches the Rfam family "Archaeal small subunit ribosomal RNA", at positions 54 to 875 of the family's 1478-position model. The record is from RNAcentral. Lineage: Archaea; Thermoproteati; Thermoproteota.